AAGCACCCUCAUGUUGCGAACC
Molecule: unclassified non-coding RNA, 22 nt
Filed under: Mus musculus (house mouse)
Lineage: Eukaryota; Metazoa; Chordata; Mammalia; Rodentia; Muridae
Description: oocyte_clustered_small_RNA12990
Source: RNAcentral